This 848-nucleotide ribosomal RNA is filed under the name uncultured bacterium. RNAcentral describes it as "SSU rRNA". It matches the Rfam family "Bacterial small subunit ribosomal RNA", at positions 524 to 1381 of the family's 1533-position model. The record is from RNAcentral.
UACGGAGGGUCCAAGCGUUAUCCGGAAUCAUUGGGUUUAAAGGGUCCGUAGGCGGGCUAUUAAGUCAGAGGUGAAAGUUUGCAGCUCAACUGUAAAAUUGCCUUUGAUACUGAUAGUCUUGAAUUGUAGUGAAGUGGUUAGAAUAUGUGGUGUAGCGGUGAAAUGCAUAGAUAUCACAUAGAAUACCGAUUGCGAAGGCAGAUCACUAACUAUAUAUUGACGCUGAGGGACGAAAGCGUGGGGAGCGAACGGGAUUAGAUACCCCGGUAGUCCACGCCGUAAACGAUGGAUACUAGCUGUUGGAUUUUUUCAGUGGCUAAGCGAAAGUGAUAAGUAUCCCACCUGGGGAGUACGUUCGCAAGAAUGAAACUCAAAGGAAUUGACGGGGGCCCGCACAAGCGGUGGAGCAUGUGGUUUAAUUCGAUGAUACGCGAGGAGCCUUACCAGGGCUUAAAUGGGAAAUGACAGGGGCAGAGACGCCCCCUUCUUCGGACAUUUUUCAAGGUGCUGCAUGGUUGUCGUCAGCUCGUGCCGUGAGGUGUCAGGUUAAGUCCUAUAACGAGCGCAACCCCUACCGUUAGUUGCCAGCGAGUAAUGUCGGGGACUCUAACGGAACUGCCGGUGCAAACCGUGAGGAAGGUGGGGACGACGUCAAAUCAUCACGGCCCUUACGUCCUGGGCCACACACGUGCUACAAUGGUAGGUACAGAGGGAAGCCACCCCGCGAGGGGGAGCGGAUCUACAAAACCUAUCUCAGUUCGGAUCGGAGUUUGCAACUCGACUCCGUGAAGCUGGAAUCGCUAGUAAUCGGAUAUCAGCCAUGAUCCGGUGAAUACGUUCCCGGGCCU